This 499-nucleotide ribosomal RNA is filed under the name uncultured bacterium. Its description in RNAcentral is "partial 16S ribosomal RNA". It matches the Rfam family "Bacterial small subunit ribosomal RNA", at positions 29 to 523 of the family's 1533-position model. The record is from RNAcentral.
AUUGAACGCUGGCGGCAUGCCUUACACAUCCAAGUCGAACGCGAAAGGGGGGCAACUCCUGAGUAGAGUGGCGCACGGGUGAGUAAUGCAUCGGAACGUGUCCUGUAGCGGGGGAUAACCUAGCGAAAGCUAGGCUAAUACCGCAUACGUCCUACGGGAGAAAGUGGGGGAUCGUAAGACCUCACACUAUAGGAGCGGCCGAUGCCGGAUUAGCUAGUUGGUGGGGUAAAAGCCUACCAAGGCGACGAUCCGUAGCUGGUCUGAGAGGAUGAUCAGCCACACUGGGACUGAGACACGGCCCAGACUCCUACGGGAGGCAGCAGUGGGGAAUUUUGGACAAUGGGGGAAACCCUGAUCCAGCCAUGCCGCGUGAGUGAAGAAGGCCUUCGGGUUGUAAAGCUCUUUCGGCCGGGACGAAAUCGCACGCGUGAAUAUCGCGUGUGGAUGACGGUACCGGAAGAAGAAGGACCGGCUAACUACGUGCCAGCCGCCGCUGUAA